Molecule: ribosomal RNA, 446 nt
Filed under: uncultured bacterium
Lineage: Bacteria
Description: bacterial SSU rRNA
Rfam family: Bacterial small subunit ribosomal RNA
Source: RNAcentral
CCAGACGCCUACGGGAGGCAGCAGUGGGGAAUAUUGCACAAUGGGGGAAACCCUGAUGCAGCGACGCCGCGUGAGUGAAGAAGUAAUUCGUUAUGUAAAGCUCUAUCAGCAGGGAAGAAAAUGACGGUACCUGAGUAAGAAGCCCCGGCUAACUACGUGCCAGCAGCCGCGGUAAUACGUAGGGGGCAAGCGUUAUCCGGAUUUACUGGGUGUAAAGGGGGCGCAGACGGCGAUGCAAGCCAGGAGUGAAAGCCCGGGGCCCAACCCCGGGACUGCUCUUGGAACUGCGUGGCUGGAGUGCAGGAGGGGCAGGCGGAAUUCCUGGUGUAGCGGUGAAAUGCGUAGAUAUUAGGAGGACCUCCAGUGGCGAAGGCGACUUUCUGGACUGUACCUGACGGUGAGGCGCGACAGCGUGGGUAGCGAACGGGAUUAGAUACCCGGGUACU